Molecule: long non-coding RNA, 939 nt
Organism: Gambusia affinis (western mosquitofish)
Lineage: Eukaryota; Metazoa; Chordata; Actinopteri; Cyprinodontiformes; Poeciliidae
Exons: 4
Source: RefSeq, a predicted model, not a curated record
AAAGCAUCUCUUUGCUUUUUCCCUACACGUAUAAAUGUUUAUUAUGUGAUAAUGUGAUAAAGAAAACUAAUCAGCCGAACUGGACCGGAACUGGACCCGAUGAUAGACGAACUCAGGACGGUAAUGACACGCCAUGUUUCAUUCCAGUGAGGAUGAUGUGGCCCCAACCAUGAUACUGCCUCCACCAAAAGUUGCUCAACGUUGACAGGAUUGGUGUCCUGCCAUCAGCUGGAUGUGGCACAGACCUGGCAACCCGCGGCGGCCCAUUUUCACGCAGGCAGAUGGCGGCGGUGGGAGUCGCCGUCUGUUUCCCACUGCAGAUCUGACUAGAUGUCAUAAAUGAGCAGAGAUCUGUGAAUGACAGGAACACCGGCAUGUUGGCAUCUUCCACAGAUUCCCUCAUCAUCAGGUUUUCUCCUCCGCUUCCUCUGAUGGGACAUCAGGUUUCUUGAUGAGCCUCAUUGUAUCGACAUCUUCAGGCCCUUGACUUGCACAAACACACUCCCAUCACUUGGCUGCGCUCUCCUGGACCCACACGCCGCUAACGGAGACGGCAACACAAUUACCGGGCGUCUUCUGAGUAUCGCAGCUCAAUCAGAGGCGACACAAAAGGCUUUUCAGGGCUGACGAGCGCCGCUCUCCAGGCCCUUCUUCCUCCUUCUGCUGAUUGCCGCCGUCGCUUUCUGCGUGGGCGACCGUUCUCCGCCCGCUAACGACUCCGGCUCUCAUGUUUACGUUUAAAAAAGGUUAUGUCCUCCCUACGUGUCGGAGAAAAUCGCCAAGUUGUGGCUUAAAUUGCUCUGAUGUCAAGGCGGAGUGUUGAUUGAAAUGGUUAUGUGAGAAACGUAUUUCAUUCAGAAGUGAAAACCAAACAGUAGAAAUACAGUUUUUAUAGAUUUUGACAGAAUAAUGAUAAAUCCAUUAAUCAAAUUAAAUUAA